This 176-nucleotide small RNA is filed under the name Janibacter sp. RNAcentral describes it as "c-di-AMP sequence". It matches the Rfam family "c-di-AMP riboswitch aptamer (ydaO/yuaA leader)". From Rfam's summary of the family: This family represents a conserved RNA structure found upstream of the ydaO and yuaA genes in Bacillus subtilis and related genes in other bacteria. The ydaO/yuaA element is thought to act as a genetic "off" switch for the ydaO and yuaA genes in its native state. The record is from RNAcentral. Lineage: Bacteria; Bacillati; Actinomycetota; Actinomycetes; Micrococcales; Intrasporangiaceae.
UCUGCACGAACACCGCAUGGCAGGAGCGGGGGACCCACUCAUGGGGCAUCGCGGAUGCUCCUCGGGGUUAAGUCCUUCAGGCGCAACGGACCGCUAGGUCGAUCCGGCGCCGCAGGACCGGGCCACACCUCUGGCCCGAACCCGACAGCUCACCCCGCAAGCCGGAUAGAGGUCAA